Molecule: unclassified non-coding RNA, 903 nt
Filed under: Hevea brasiliensis (rubber tree)
Lineage: Eukaryota; Viridiplantae; Streptophyta; Magnoliopsida; Malpighiales; Euphorbiaceae
Source: RNAcentral
UUUUACUUAUUAACUGAACCUAAUAUCUUUACUUUUUUAAGCAUUGUAUGGCACUUUGUGAUACCAUGAGGAGCUUUUUGAAAAAGAAAAAUUCCUGCUGUAUGGCAAGAUAGCUUUUUUUAAAAAAGCUGGGCAUAUCAGUAAGCAUGUUUGGUUUCUAUUUUCGUCAUUAUAAAUUUCUUCAUCAAAUUGCUAUACUACAUCAUACAAUAUGAUCUAUUGGUUGCCUUUUGAAAUGUGAACUUAUCUAAAUUUGCCAUUGACUGAUGUCUGGAAUUGUGAUCAAAUAUGCUCAAACUAAUUGACGAAAUAUGCUUCAAGUAUUCACCACAUCAACUUAGUGACCAAGUUCUUCAAUGCAAAGUCCAGAUCUUGGCAUUGGAGAUCAAGUCUUGACUUCAUAUAAACAUAUAUAAGUAACAUGAGAAACAUUCUCUCAACUAAAGGCAAUGAUGAGCAAAAGUAAAGCAUGGAAUAUCAAGCUCGUGAGUGAGGGAAAUUUGGUGUAUUUCAGUAAUUAGCAUUUUGAUUGGCCUUGUGUCCUCCCAAUUUUCUAAGUGUUUUGCAUUCCCUUUGUGUUCUCCCAAUUUUGUAGUUGAAAUGUUUUAUCAUUUUUGCCAUGAAUGUAGAUUUUAAGUGGAACCUUGUCAAAUUCCUGUGCUCUCUGGAAUUAUUACUUUUGCAUGUUUUCUUUUCCUUUUUCUCUAUUGACCAAUUUUAUAUAUUGUUUGGUAUGUUGCAACAUUUGCACAUAUCAUGUACUUGGGAUUUUGUUGUCUUAGCUAAUUGCUGGUUGUCUGGAAUUCUUUUUUGACUUUGAUUUUUCAUCUCGUUUCAGAAAAAGAGUACACGAACAUAUGCAUCAGAGUCUCGGAAUGCCAAGGACAGAGAUUCAAAUGAGAU